GGGGACGUUACGGAUUCGACAGGGGUGAAUCGAGCUUGAGUUGCGAGCCGAGUCGGCGAGCUCGUUAAAACGCCAAAGCCUAUAACUGGCAAAGAAAACAACAACUUCGCUUUAGCUGCGUAAGCAUGCUAGCGGUUCCUCCCUCCAUCGCCCAUGUGGUAGGGUAAGGGACUCACUCUAAGUGGGCUACGCCGGAUUCCACCGUCUGAGGAUGAAGGAAGAGAUUAAUCAGACUAGCUGCGUAGAAGCCCGUCAGCAGGCCGAAGCGUUCGCGAAUUGCUAAUAUGUUGACUACGCUCGUAGACGCUUAAGUAUCGACAUUUCUGGACGUGGGUUCGACUCCCACCGUCUCCACCA
Molecule: transfer-messenger RNA, 357 nt
Filed under: Bacilli
Lineage: Bacteria; Bacillati; Bacillota
Also listed under: 1 other name
Description: Maribacillus taeanensis Standard tmRNA
Rfam family: transfer-messenger RNA
About the family: Bacterial tmRNA, also known as 10Sa RNA or SsrA, is named for its dual tRNA and mRNA-like properties. Its role is to liberate the mRNA from a stalled ribosome. To accomplish this part of the tmRNA is used as a reading frame that ends in a translation stop signal.
Source: RNAcentral